GCAUAACGCGAAGAACCUUACCAGGUCUUGACAUCCCUCUGACCGAUCCUUAACCGGAUCUUCUCUUCGGAGCAGAGGUGACAGGUGGUGCAUGGUUGUCGUCAGCUCGUGUCGUGAGAUGUUGGGUUAAGUCCCGCAACGAGCGCAACCCUUAUCUUUAGUAGCCAGCAGUUCGGCUGGGCACUCUAGAGAGACUGCCAGGGAUAACCUGGAGGAAGGUGGGGAUGACGUCAAAUCAUCAUGCCCCUUAUGAUCUGGGCUACACACGUGCUACAAUGGUGAUAACAAAGUGAAGCAGCCUCGUGAGAGUGAGCAAAUCACAAAAAAGUCAUCUCAGUUCGGAUUGUAGUCUGCAACUCGACUACAUGAAGCUGGAAUCGCUAGUAAUCGCGAAUCAGAAUGUCGCGGUGAAUACGUUCCCGGGUCUUGUACACACCGGAGGUCGGUGGGGGAGGGGCAA
This 460-nucleotide ribosomal RNA is filed under the name uncultured bacterium. Its description in RNAcentral is "bacterial SSU rRNA". It matches the Rfam family "Bacterial small subunit ribosomal RNA", at positions 954 to 1416 of the family's 1533-position model. The record is from RNAcentral.